This 75-nucleotide microRNA precursor is filed under the name Bombyx mori (domestic silkworm). Its description in RNAcentral is "mir-2807 microRNA precursor family". It matches the Rfam family "mir-2807 microRNA precursor family". The record is from Rfam by way of RNAcentral. Lineage: Eukaryota; Metazoa; Arthropoda; Insecta; Lepidoptera; Bombycidae.
UUAACUGAAAUUUGUAUGGAGUUGGAGCGUUUGCCUACGUUUGCCGCUGUGCCAACUCUAUACGAAUUUGAGUUA